Small nucleolar RNA from Pteronotus mesoamericanus, 150 nucleotides. NCBI's taxonomy places the organism in Eukaryota, Metazoa, Chordata, Mammalia, Chiroptera, Mormoopidae. The record is from RefSeq and is a predicted model, not a curated record.
UAGGGACCUUGUUAAAGAAACUGAUGUACUGCUCGUGGCCGAUGAACUCACAAGUGUAGGUAGUGUGCUACACGAGGGGCAAGUUUUCGCAAACACCACGAGGGUCUCUGGCCCCAUGAGUGGAGUUUGAUAGUAAUCCUUGCAACAAGU